GACGAACGCUGGCGGCGUGCUUAACACAUGCAAGUCGAACGGGCUGAAGUGAUAGCUUGCUAUUAUGGAUGCUAGUGGCAAACGGGUGAGUAACGCGUAGGCAACCUGCCCUUCAGAUGGGGACAACACUUCGAAAGAGGUGCUAAUACCGGAUAACAACACUAGACGCAUGUCUAGAGUUUGAAAGAUGGUUCUGCUAUCACUCUUGGAUGGACCUGCGGUGCAUUAGCUAGUUGGUAAGGUAACGGCUUACCAAGGCAAUGAUGCAUAGCCGAGUUGAGAGACUGAUCGGCCACAUUGGGACUGAGACACGGCCCAA
RNAcentral lists this ribosomal RNA (319 nucleotides) under uncultured bacterium. Its description in RNAcentral is "bacterial SSU rRNA". It matches the Rfam family "Bacterial small subunit ribosomal RNA", at positions 28 to 334 of the family's 1533-position model. The record is from RNAcentral.